This 495-nucleotide ribosomal RNA is filed under the name uncultured bacterium. RNAcentral describes it as "partial 16S ribosomal RNA". It matches the Rfam family "Bacterial small subunit ribosomal RNA", at positions 28 to 507 of the family's 1533-position model. The record is from RNAcentral.
GACGAACGCUGGCGGCGUGCCUAAUACAUGCAAGUAGAACGCUGAAGGAGGAGCUUGCUUCUCUGGAUGAGUUGCGAACGGGUGAGUAACGCGUAGGUAACCUGCCUGGUAGUGGGGGAUAACUAUUGGAAACGAUAGCUAAUACCGCAUAAUAGCAGUUGUUGCAUGAUAACUGUUUGAAAGGUGCAAUUGCACCGCUACCAGAUGGACCUGCGUUGUAUUAGCUAGUUGGUGGGGUAACGGCUCACCAAGGCGACGAUACAUAGCCGACCGGAGAGGGUGGUCGGCCACACUGGGAAUGAGACACGGCCCAGACUCCUACGGGAGGCAGCAGUAGGGAAUCUUCGGCAAUGGACGGAAGUCUGACCGAGCAACGCCGCGGGAGUGAAGAAGGGUUUCGAAUCGUAAAGCUCUGUUGUAAGAGAAGAACGAGUGUGAGAGUGGAAAGUUCACACUGUGACGGUAUCUUACCAGAAAGGGACGGCUAACUACGUG